AUGCUGCGUGGGAGCGGGGCUGGGGACCCCCUCCCUUUCCCGGCAGCGCUGCCUUGGUCGGGCGCCCGUGGCCCCGCGCCCCGCUCCGGGCGGGCGCCCAGAACGCGGCUCGGCCCGAGCAGAUGUGGCCGGAGCGCUCCCGCGGCCCCGCUCGCCGCCGGGGGAAACUUUCCGUCUUCCCAGCACAUUCCCAUCUGCGCCGGGCCCGGCGCGGGGGCGAAGAGCGGCCCUGGGGGGGGGGGCUCACGCCCUGCUCUGCCCCGCGGCCCCCCCCCCGGGUCCCACCGGUGCCCGUCACUGCGGUCGUCGCUGAGACCUGGCGGGCUCGGCGCUGCCGUGACCCCGGUGGGUUUAGGGCCGGGGCUGCCCUGGCAAAAAGCCCCCGAGCUCCCCCCCCCCCACCCCAUCCCGCCCCGGGCUUCCCGGCCCCCGCGGUUUGGCAGGGGAUCAGAACAAAACGCAGCUCGCUUCGCUUUUAACCCCUUCCUCCGGCCGUGCGCCUCCUUCCCAGCCCCGUUUGGGGGAGUCCCGGGGUGCUGCGAGCGCCCACACCCACCCGCACGGCCCCGCCGCCUCCCGUGCCUCAGUUUCCCUGUCCAGGCCAGCUCGGCUCGGGGGGGGGAGCAGGACACGAGCGGCUGUGGGGUGGCCGGGCCGGCCCGGUGCCCGCGUGGCCGUGCGGGAGCUCCCAGCACAGGCGCGAGCGACGACCGGCGGCAGAACCCCGCGGUCCCCAAAACACGGCUGCAGUCGAUCCCCUCCGUGCUGGCUCCCAGCGGGGGGAUUUUCUGCCCGGCCGGGCCGGUGCCGGAGCCGGGAGCGGUGCCCAGCGGGGCUGAGUCACGGCGCUGGCCCCCGGGUGCAAGGAGCAGGGCUGGGGAGUUCCCAGGCGGGCGCUGCCGAGGGGCUGCGGGGGGCAGGAUGGGACCCACGGCACUGCGCCCUCCCCGGUGCCGUUCCUCCGUCGCCGCGUGCUCGGGGGCGAGCCGAGUUCUGCGCGGCCUCAGGACCCCCCCCAAGUCCUCGCCUGCUGGGGGGGCCGCCUGCAUCCCACAGCCCCCGCGGUGGGGAGAGCCGGGGCCGUGGGAAGGGGGCGCGGAGCCGAGCUGGGGCCAGAGCGUGCGAGCGGCCGGGGCGAGCGUGCGUGCGGGCGUGCGAGCAGGGUGGGAACGGCGCGGGGGCCAGCGUGCGCCUGGGGACCCGGCCGUGCCAGGGGGCGUGAGUCAGCGGCUGGGACGGGACGUGGGAGGGGGGGGAGAGGAGAGUGUGCGAGCGAGCGGCGCGGGGCCCGGCCGCUGCCACGGGGCCGUGCGCGCGUGGGUUUUCGUACGGCCCCGUUGCGCAGCUUCCAGAAAAGGCUCCUUCUGGAAACCUCGGCUUCCUGCCGAGCUCACGCCGCCCGGCCCCGUUCCGGGCUCCGCGGGGCGCCCCGUGCCCUGCCGGGGUCCCCCCUUGCUCCGUCCUCCCUGCCGGUGCCCGGGGGGCGAUGCCGCGUCCCGUCCCGCGCGUGGUGCCGGUUCCCAGGGCCGCGGGCAGGGUGCGGCCGUGCCCCCAACCCACGCGGUCCCGGCCCGGGUUCGGCCCCCGGCCGGCCAGCGCAGGAAGGAGCGAGCUGCCUGA
Long non-coding RNA from Anser brachyrhynchus (Pink-footed goose), 1620 nucleotides. The record is from Ensembl. NCBI's taxonomy places the organism in Eukaryota, Metazoa, Chordata, Aves, Anseriformes, Anatidae.